CACGUAGUUAGCCGGUGCUUAUUCUUACGGUACCGUCAUGGGCCUCUCGUAUUAGGAGAAGCUUUUUCGUUCCGUACAAAAGCAGUUUACAACCCGAAGGCCUUCAUCCUGCACGCGGCAUUGCUGGAUCAGGCUUUCGCCCAUUGUCCAAAAUUCCCCACUGCUGCCUCCCGUAGGAGUCUGGCCGUGUCUCAGUCCCAGUGUGGCUGGUCGUCCUCUCAGACCAGCUACAGAUCGUCGGCUUGGUAAGCUUUUAUCCCACCAACUACCUAAUCUGCCAUCGGCCGCUCCAAUCGCGCGAGGCCCGAAGGUCCCCCGCUUUCGAUCCUCAGAUCGUAUGCGGUACUAGCUACUCUUUCGAGUAGUUACUCCCCCAGACUGGGCACGUUCCGAUGUAUUCUCACCCGUUCGCCACUCGUCAGCGUCCGAGACCUGUACCGUUGACUUGCAUGUGUACGCAUCGCCGCAGCGUUCAAUCUGACGCAGGACUCGAAACUCUCU
RNAcentral lists this ribosomal RNA (501 nucleotides) under uncultured Delftia sp. RNAcentral describes it as "partial 16S ribosomal RNA". Lineage: Bacteria; Pseudomonadati; Pseudomonadota; Betaproteobacteria; Burkholderiales; Comamonadaceae. The record is from RNAcentral.